Molecule: non-coding RNA, 2463 nt
Organism: Oryza sativa Japonica Group (Japanese rice)
Lineage: Eukaryota; Viridiplantae; Streptophyta; Magnoliopsida; Poales; Poaceae
Source: RefSeq, a predicted model, not a curated record
CGGAGACCCGGUGGGAUGAGGGUUGGGGGAGGAGGCGGUGGAGGAGGAGGCGGAGGAGGGAGGGAGAGGGAGGCGGCGCUGCUGCUGGUGCUGAUCGCGGCGGCGUGCGGCUUCGUCGUCGUGCUCCUCAACCUCCCCGACGGCCGCGCCCUCCCCGGAGCCGGAGGAGUACCCGGUGCGGUUGGGGAGCACACGGGAGGGACCCAUGUGUCGGUGAAGGAGAGGCGGAUGGUAGAGAUCGUGAGACAGCAGCAGGACGUAGCAGCACAGGAGUUAGAAGGACAAACUGAUGAAAAUGCUGCAGAGGCAGAUGAAAGAAUAUCUAGAUCUCCUCCUGGCACUAAAGAGAAGUUAUGGAUGAUGCAAGACCAGCUAAUUAUGGCCAAGGCCUACUUGCAGUUUGCUUCCCUGCAUGGCAGUGCACAUUUAGUUCGGGAGUUGAAGUUGAGAAUCAAGGAGAUAGAGAGGGUGAUAAGCCACUUUAGCAGCAGUUCCCGUGUACCCACGAGUGCACUGCAGAAAAUUAGGGCAAUGGAAAUGACCCUAUCUAAAGCUCAAAGAGCCUACCCACAUUGUUCUCAUAUGACAGCAAAGUUACGUGCAAUGACACAUCAAAGCGAAGAGUUGGUCAGAGCCCAUCGAAGCGAAACUUCAUUCCUUGAGCAGGUUGCAGUGAGGACAUUACCAAAAAGCCAUCACUGCCUAGCAAUGCGACUUACCUCAGAAUACUUCCUGUUAGAUCCGAAGGAACGUGAAUUUCCUCAAAGAUACACAAUGCAGAUGGGUGACCUUUACCAUUAUGCAAUAUUCUCAGACAAUGUGCUAGCGAGUGCAGUGGUUGUCAACUCUACAAUUUCUGCAUCUAAGGAUCCCAAAAGGAUAAUGUUUCAUAUUGUGACUGAUGCACUGAAUUUUCCUGCAAUGAUGAUGUGGUUUCUGACAAACCCACCAAAUCCAGCCACAAUUCAAAUCAAGAGCUUAGAUAAUUUGAAAUGGCUGCCAGCUGAUUUCAGUUUCAGAUUUAAGCAGAAGGGCAUCCGAGAUCCAAGAUACACUUCUGCGCUUAACCACUUGCGCUUUUAUUUGCCAGAAGUAUUCCCUUCUCUGAACAAACUUGUACUCUUGGACCAUGACAUUGUAGUCCAAAGAGACUUGAGUGGAUUAUGGCAGAUAGAUUUGAAUGGUAAAGUAAAUGGUGCUGUUGAGACGUGCACUUCUGGUGAUGGUUAUCAUCGGUUGGAGAACCUUGUUAAUUUCUCUGAUCCAAGUAUCAUCAACAAAUUUGAUGCAAAGGCUUGCAUACAUGCAUUUGGGAUGAACAUCUUUGACCUUAAGGAAUGGCGCAGGCAGGGGCUGACUACUGCUUAUAAUAAGUGGUUUCAAGCUGGCAAAAGGCGGAGACUAUGGAAAGCAGGGAGCUUGCCACUGGGCCAGAUUGUCUUCUACAAUCAAACAGUGCCUCUUGACCACCGGUGGCAUGUUCUUGGGCUUGGUCAUGACAGAAGCAUAGGAAGAGAUGCAAUUGAGAGGGCCGCCGUGAUCCACUACAGCGGAAAACUCAAACCCUGGCUGGAGAUCUCCAUUCCCAAGUACAGAGAUUAUUGGAACAAUUUCCUUGACUAUGACAACCCAUACUUGCAGCAGUGCAACAUUCACAUGUAGAAGCAGUAGAAGCUAGAAGAUUCACACAAUGGCCCAUGAAUACACGGUUUUUGCAAUACAUAUUUCAGGCCCAAAUAAAACAUUAGAGAAGUUGUCAGGAGAUACACACAAUGGUUCUAUUUGCAGUUUCAGAAAGUGCAGAUCCACAACCAUCCAAGCUGAUAUGAUCAUAUGACUUUCCAAGCCAAAUUCCAAGACCCCAAGCAACCGUCAUGACUCAAUUCAGGUUAUCCGAUCAAAGAUGUCCAGCACAACAGCGCCUCAUUUUUGCGUGUCACUGGAUGAAAUCAUGAAACAGCCCUGGUCGUCAUAGCCGACGCAUGCAAUGAACUGUCUGAAGAAACCAAUUUGAGUUGUUGGUUUUGGACAGCAGAGAAUCCAUCUUAGCACGAAGAAAGAAAAUGUCAGAUAUGCACAUAUCUGGGGGUCGAUGCAGGUAUGUGUUUAAGAUGUGCCAUAUCUAUGGUCUUUGCAUGAAACUUUUAUAUGCCAAAAAUAUGUUACGUACGUCUCUGGACUCUGGAUGGGUAGCAAUGGCGGCUAUGAAAUUGCUCUCUGAUCUGUCGCCGUGACUUUCAGAUAUUCAGAUAUCUCCUGCUGGUCGUAUGACAGACGACCUCAUGUGCUUCCUGACCAUAUGGUACUCGCCCAUCAUUUUUGUUUAUGUUUCGAAAGCUGAAAUGAUUCAUCCUCACUAGGAUGCGAGUGCGUGGGGGUCCUAUUUCGCAUCCAAAAAUGUACAUUAUUGUUGCUAGUUUAUAAUGUGAUGAUAUAUAUUUUAGUUAAAUUAGAGUCGGUCAA